Molecule: long non-coding RNA, 2527 nt
Filed under: Anolis carolinensis (green anole)
Lineage: Eukaryota; Metazoa; Chordata; Lepidosauria; Squamata; Anolidae
Description: lncRNA (ENSACAG00000039399.1)
Source: RNAcentral
AUGCCACAUAACAGCUCCUUUUUUGAGGAGCAGCUAUAUCCAAGCACCACCAUCUGGAACCUGCCUGAGAGGUACGACCGGAACCACUGCAGCACAGUGCCUCCAAUUCCCAACCCCCUAUGUGUUCCAGAAGGAUACUAUGGUUGGCCAAACACAGUUGAUGGUAAAGGGAUAGCCAAAGGUCACCUAAAAGGUACCCAUUUCCAUGUAUUCUGCAAUGGUAAUUGUGGGUAUUGGAGAUUUAGAGGCUUUUCCAUUAUAAAUUUUAGUGUCUUGUGCCCAGGCUGGGAAAGUAAGUAGGCUGGGGGAGGCAGGAAAUCAUUGUUGAAGAUGGGUUAAUAAAUGUAUUAACCUUAGUCGCAUUUGAAAGUGCUGACACCAAUCUGUGGCAGGGAUGAAAUGUCCUCGGGACUCAGACGGAGGCCUUGAGACAAGGCUGUUGUGAUUACAGAGCUUCCAAGAAUUUACUCCACCAAGAAAAUUAUGAACCAAAGCCAGCUCUUCUGCAAUAUUUUCCCCUGAAAAUUCACUACUGCUUCUUAAAAACAGAGAAGGAGUAAUGAAAAUGCAACUCAGGGAAGUUUAAUUUUGGCUGUCAACUCUCAGAAUUCCCUAAAUCAGAAUGACCAAUAGGAUUUUGGAAAUUAUCGUUUGAAAAAGAAAACAAAUCACCUAAAGUGUAAUAAGAGGGGGCUGCAAUUUAGGUUUCCCAGAAAACUACAGCAUUUUUCUUUCUUAGAUCCGUAGUUUUGUGGGGUUUUAGAGUUCUCUGCCAAAGCUCCACCAAAUCCCAGGAUUCCAAGUGAUAUCAAAGUGCUGUAAUUGUGUAUUGUGACAGAAUCAUAUCAAGGCUUGCCUCCACUGUCUCCCCAAACUUCAAGCACCAUCACUUUUUCCAAGGACUAUAUUCAUUGAUUUUAAAAUAAAUUGUCCUCCACUGAGGUGCAAAGAGGCCAUUUGUUCCUUUGGUGAAAGGUCCAUUGGAAAAACAAACCUUAUUCAGCAAUCACAUUAUUCAAAGUUCAAAGAGAAAUGCCUCAGCAGCUGCAUUGUGUUAACAGGUCAGAUGGUGCACUAUCCAUGGGGACGUGGUGUUAUUAGUGUGCAUAAAUUUAGAUGCAUGCUGUAGUGAGUAUGGCCUUUGCCACCACAUAGAUGAGUUUUCAAGUCCUUGCCAGUAUCAUUGCCAAAUGUCAACAGCUGUCAACUAACAUUGAAGCGGUUAAUUCAUCCUGAGGAAGUCACCAUGGUAGGUAGGUUCAGUUUAACCUGGCAGUUCAAGGCUGGGAAAUGAUAGACAGCUGGAGAAUGACUGAGGGGUUAAACUCCUUUCGCAACAUACUUAUGCAAUUCUCCUGGAUAGUAGAAUGGGUCAAGUUUGCACACCUUGAUUUCCUUUGUAUGUCCCAUGCUAUUCAAACCUUGGGCAUUCCUCUUUCAAUGGUCUUAAAUGUAUCAAAAUAUUUUUACCUACAUAUCGAAACCCUGUCUAAUCUUGGAAGCUAACAGCCUAGUCCCCUUUGUGGGAUAUGCCUUGGAGUCUCUGCUGAGGUCCUCAAAUUCUGGAUGGGUUGCUAUGGAAGGAGGCAGUCUUUCACAUUACUCCAAACCCUAUGGAGACAUAUGCAAAUUAAAAACAGCAGUUUGAAUUGAACUCAAACCUUGACAUAUGGAGGGCCAACUGUAUGAGGCUGGAUGUCCCAAUGCUCUUGCUUGAUAUGGCAGCUUCCUAUGUAGGACCUUGUAUUAAAAGCUGUUCUGAUUUGGAGGCAUUUAAAAGUAGUCCAUGGACCCAUCUACACUGCCAUAUAAUGCAUUUUCACAAUGCAGUUUAACUACACUAAUGAGCCUACACUUUUCCAUCUAAUCCAGUUCUAUGAAGUUAAACUGCAUUAUAUGGCAGUGUAGAUGAGGCCUAUAUUGCCAUUGACUCUGCAUUGCAGAUCUAUUGAACAUGGAAUUGGACUAGAUGACCUCCAUUACCUAUUCUAGCAAUGAAGCUCUAUGAUCCCAUCAUUCAAACAUGGCACUGGAAGUACUCCAGGUAGCAAAGAGCUCCAGAGUGAGAGCACAUUUUUAUUAUAUUCCCUUUUCAGUCAUUUGUGUGUUCAGUUCACUGGUUUUCUCUGGGGUGGCUAAAUAAACAACCAUUCUCCUCUUUCCUUUCCCUAAUCCGCUUGUGCCUUUCUAUGCCCAAAGCGUUUUCCUCCUUAGUUGUCUCUCUUCUGAGCACAUCUAAGAUUUUUUUCUUAAUACCCAAAGUGCCUUUUUAAAAAAAUAAAAGAGAAGGUUUUCUCUAGCUUUCUUCUGAGUGCCUGGUAAAUUCUGAAUACUUGGUGACUGGCAGACUUUUUAAUGUUUGCAGCUGCCUUUUUGCAUUUCUUCCUUGAGACUCGAUUUGGAUCUAAUGCUGCCACCUAUUGGAUAUGAAGUUCACGAGCUUUCAGCACAUUUAAACCAGAGAGAAACAUAUUAUUGUAAUCCCCUUCUUCAAAACAUCUAAGUUCUGUAAUUUGUUUGAUUUCCA